This 253-nucleotide ribosomal RNA is filed under the name uncultured bacterium. RNAcentral's name for it is "partial 16S ribosomal RNA". It matches the Rfam family "Bacterial small subunit ribosomal RNA", at positions 524 to 776 of the family's 1533-position model. The record is from RNAcentral.
UACGUAGGGCGCAAGCGUUGUCCGGAAUUACUGGGCGUAAAGCGCACGUAGGCGGCUUUGUAAGUUAGAGGUGAAAGCCCGGGGCUCAACCCCGGAAUUGCCUUUAAGACUGCAUCGCUAGAAUUGUGGAGAGGUAAGUGGAAUUCCGAGUGUAGAGGUGAAAUUCGUAGAUAUUCGGAAGAACACCAGUGGCGAAGGCGACUUACUGGACACAUAUUGACGCUGAGGUGCGAAAGCGUGGGGAGCAAACAGG